This 308-nucleotide unclassified non-coding RNA is filed under the name uncultured Lepiota. Its description in RNAcentral is "sequence contains ITS2". The stretch from base 1 to 52 matches the Rfam family "5.8S ribosomal RNA", at positions 103 to 154 of the family's 154-position model. The record is from RNAcentral. Lineage: Eukaryota; Fungi; Basidiomycota; Agaricomycetes; Agaricales; Agaricaceae.
AACGCACCUUGCGCUCCUUGGUAUUCCGAGGAGCAUGCCUGUUUGAGUGUCAUUAAAUUCUCAACUACACCUUUGUUUUAACAUAUGGUCGUGGAUUGGAUGUUGGGGGUAUACCUGCGGGCCUCUCCCAUUGAGGUCGGCUCCCCUGAAAUGCAUUAGCGGAACCGUUUGCGGUCAGUCACCGGUGUGAUAAUUAUCUACGCCACAGACAAAGGCUGCUCUCUCAGUGUUCAGCUUCUAAUUGUCUAUCUAUAGACAACUUUUGAAUAUUUGACCUCAAAUCAGGUAGGACUACCCGCUGAACUUAA